Molecule: ribosomal RNA, 838 nt
Filed under: uncultured bacterium
Lineage: Bacteria
Description: bacterial SSU rRNA
Rfam family: Bacterial small subunit ribosomal RNA
Source: RNAcentral
CGCUGGCGGCGUGCUUAACACAUGCAAGUCUACGAGAAAGGGGUAGCAAUACCCUGAUUAAAGUGGCGCACGGGUGGGUAACACGUAAGCAAUCUACCUUUAGAUUUGGAAUAACCCCGAGAAAUCGGGGCUAAUACCGAAUGAUGCAGCGGCACCGCAUGGUGAUGUUGUUAAAGUUCUCGAAACGUCUAAAGAUGAGCUUGCGUCUGAUUAGCUAGUUGGUGAGGUAACGGCCCACCAAGGCUACGAUCAGUAACUGGUCUGAGAGGAUGAUCAGUCACACUGGAACUGAGACGCGGUCCAGACUCCUACGGGAGGCAGCAGUGAGGAAUAUUGGGCAAUGCCCGCAAGGGUGACCCAGCAACGCCGCGUGAAGGAUGAAGGCCGUAAGGUUGUAAACUUCUGUUAGAGGGGACGAAUGAUUUCGGUAGCACCGGAAUUUGACUGUACCCUCAGAGAAAGCCCCGGCUAACUACGUGCCAGCAGCCGCGGUAAUACGUAGGGGGCAAGCGUUGUCCGGAUUUACUGGGUGUAAAGGGCGCGCAGGCGGAUUGACAAGUCAGAGGUGAAAUCCUGCAGCUUAACUGCAGAACUGCCUUUGAAACUGUCAAUCUUGAGUACGGAAGAGAGAGACGGAAUUCCAGGUGUAGUGGUGAAAUACGUAGAUAUCUGGAAGAACACCAGUUGCGAAGGCGGUCUCUUGGUCCGUUACUGACGCUCAGGCGCGAAAGCGUGGGUAGCAAACAGGAUUAGAUACCCUGGUAGUCCACGCUGUAAACGACGAAUACUAGGUGUUGGAUCGCAAGAUUCAGUGCCGCAGCUAACGCAUUAAGUAUCC